This 250-nucleotide ribosomal RNA is filed under the name uncultured soil bacterium. Its description in RNAcentral is "partial 16S ribosomal RNA". It matches the Rfam family "Bacterial small subunit ribosomal RNA", at positions 1024 to 1273 of the family's 1533-position model. The record is from RNAcentral.
GAACCUUGAGACAGGUGCUGCAUGGCUGUCGUCAGCUCGUGUUGUGAAAUGUAGGGUUAAGUCCCGUAACGAGCGCAACCCUUAUCCUUAGUUGCCAGCGGUUCGUGGGGGAAAUUAAAGGAAAAUGGCCGGGAAAAAAUGGAGGAAAGGGGGGAUUAACUCAAAGUUUCCUGGGCCCUACGAGCCGGGGUAAAAAACGGGUAAAACGGGCGAUACAAAUAGAUGGCCCCUCCUGACAGCGGGAGCACUC